UGGCUCCUGGUGCUCACCACAGGCUGUGUUCUUCCGCUAACUUUACAGAAAGAUGAGGCAGAGUAGGCCAACUGUGUCCACUGCAGCCCAGGCCCUGUGCAUUGGGAAUGGGGAAACAUGG
RNAcentral lists this small nucleolar RNA (121 nucleotides) under Sciurus vulgaris (Eurasian red squirrel). RNAcentral describes it as "Small nucleolar RNA SNORA51 (ENSSVLG00005006806.1)". It matches the Rfam family "Small nucleolar RNA SNORA51". From Rfam's summary of the family: ACA51 is a member of the H/ACA class of snoRNA that guide the sites of modification of uridines to pseudouridines. Lineage: Eukaryota; Metazoa; Chordata; Mammalia; Rodentia; Sciuridae. The record is from Rfam by way of RNAcentral.